GAUGAACGCUGGCGGCGUGCCUAAUACAUGCAAGUCGAGCGAACAGACGAGGAGCUUGCUCCUCUGACGUUAGCGGCGGACGGGUGAGUAACACGUGGAUAACCUACCUAUAAGACUGGGAUAACUUCGGGAAACCGGAGCUAAUACCGGAUAAUAUAUUGAACCGCAUGGUUCAAUAGUGAAAGACGGUUUUGCUGUCACUUAUAGAUGGAUCCGCGCCGCAUUAGCUAGUUGGUAAGGUAACGGCCUACCAAGGCAACGAUGCGUAGCCGACCUGAGAGGGUGAUCGGCCACACUGGAACUGAGACACGGUCCAGACUCCUACGGGAGGCAGCAGUAGGGAAUAUUCCGCAAUGGGCGAAAGCCUGACGGAGCAACGCCGCGUGAGUGAUGAAGGUCUUCGGAUCGUAAAACUCUGUUAUUAGGGAAGAACAAAUGUGUAAGUAACUAUGCACGUCUUGACGGUACCUAAUCAGAAAGCCACGGCUAACUACGUG
Molecule: ribosomal RNA, 497 nt
Filed under: uncultured bacterium
Lineage: Bacteria
Description: partial 16S ribosomal RNA
Rfam family: Bacterial small subunit ribosomal RNA
Source: RNAcentral